AACGCGAAGAACCUUACCAGCUUUUGACAUGUCCAGUAUGGUUGCCAGAGAUGGCUUCCUUCCCGCAAGGGGCUGGAACACAGGUGCUGCAUGGCUGUCGUCAGCUCGUGUCGUGAGAUGUUGGGUUAAGUCCCGCAACGAGCGCAACCCUCGCCCUUAGUUGCCAUCAUUCAGUUGGGCACUCUAGGGGGACUGCCGGUGAUAAGCCGCGAGGAAGGUGGGGAUGACGUCAAGUCCUCAUGGCCCUUACAGGCUGGGCUACACACGUGCUACAAUGGCGGUGACAAUGGGAUGCGGAGGGGCGACCCCGAGCAAAUCUCAAAAAGCCGUCUCAGUUCAGAUUGCACUCUGCAACUCGAGUGCAUGAAGGUGGAAUCGCUAGUAAUCGUAGAUCAGAACGCUACGGUGAAUACGUUCCCGGGCCUUGUACACACCGCUAGUC
Molecule: ribosomal RNA, 442 nt
Filed under: uncultured bacterium
Lineage: Bacteria
Description: bacterial SSU rRNA
Rfam family: Bacterial small subunit ribosomal RNA
Source: RNAcentral